GCUUUGAUGAUCAACAAUUGUGUUAUUAGGAUCUUAUUUAACAGGUGAACUUUUAAUUUUGAUAACCUGAGAGCAGACAAAACCUGGGGCACCC
Thalassophryne amazonica is the source of this 94-nucleotide long non-coding RNA. RefSeq lists it as uncharacterized. The record is from RefSeq and is a predicted model, not a curated record. Lineage: Eukaryota; Metazoa; Chordata; Actinopteri; Batrachoidiformes; Batrachoididae. The transcript is spliced from 3 exons.